GACGAACGCUGGCGGCGUGCUUAACACAUGCAAGUCGAACGGAAAGGCCCUGCUUUUGUGGGGUGCUCGAGUGGCGAACGGGUGGGUAACACGUGAGUAACCUGCCCUUGACUUUGGGAUAACUUCAGGAAACUGGGGCUAAUACCGGAUAGGAGCUCCUGCUGCAUGGUGGGGGUUGGAAAGUUUCGGCGGUUGGGGAUGGACUCGCGGCUUAUCAGCUUGUUGGUGGGGUAGUGGCUUACCAAGGCUUUGACGGGUAGCCGGCCUGAGAGGGUGACCGGCCACAUUGGGACUGAGAUACGGCCCAGACUCCUACGGGAGGCAGCAGUGGGGAAUAUUGCACAAUGGGCGGAAGCCUGAUGCAGCAACGCCGCGUGCGGGAUAACGGCCUUCGGGUUGUAAACCGCUUUCGCCUGUGACGAAGCGUGAGUGACGGUAAUGGGUAAAGAAGCACCGGCUAACUACGUG
Molecule: ribosomal RNA, 468 nt
Filed under: uncultured bacterium
Lineage: Bacteria
Description: partial 16S ribosomal RNA
Rfam family: Bacterial small subunit ribosomal RNA
Source: RNAcentral